Non-coding RNA from Acanthosepion pharaonis, 114 nucleotides. The record is from the annotation of a GenBank genome assembly. NCBI's taxonomy places the organism in Eukaryota, Metazoa, Mollusca, Cephalopoda, Sepiida, Sepiidae.
UUACGGCCAUAUCACGUUGAAGCUCCGGUUCCGUCCGGCAAACCGAAGUUAAGGAACGUUGAGCCUGGUCAGUGCCUAGAUGGUUGACCGUUUGGAAAUACCAGGUGCUGUAAG